This 585-nucleotide ribosomal RNA is filed under the name Stutzerimonas stutzeri. RNAcentral describes it as "bacterial SSU rRNA". It matches the Rfam family "Bacterial small subunit ribosomal RNA", at positions 56 to 637 of the family's 1533-position model. Lineage: Bacteria; Pseudomonadati; Pseudomonadota; Gammaproteobacteria; Pseudomonadales; Pseudomonadaceae. The record is from RNAcentral.
UGCAGUCGAGCGGAUGAAGGGAGCUUGCUCCCGGAUUCAGCGGCGGACGGGUGAGUAAUGCCUAGGAAUCUGCCUGGUAGUGGGGGACAACGUUUCGAAAGGAACGCUAAUACCGCAUACGUCCUACGGGAGAAAGCAGGGGACCUUCGGGCCUUGCGCUAUCAGAUGAGCCUAGGUCGGAUUAGCUAGUUGGUGAGGUAAUGGCUCACCAAGGCGACGAUCCGUAACUGGUCUGAGAGGAUGAUCAGUCACACUGGAACUGAGACACGGUCCAGACUCCUACGGGAGGCAGCAGUGGGGAAUAUUGGACAAUGGGCGAAAGCCUGAUCCAGCCAUGCCGCGUGUGUGAAGAAGGUCUUCGGAUUGUAAAGCACUUUAAGUUGGGAGGAAGGGCAGUAAGCUAAUACCUUGCUGUUUUGACGUUACCGACAGAAUAAGCACCGGCUAACUUCGUGCCAGCAGCCGCGGUAAUACGAAGGGUGCAAGCGUUAAUCGGAAUUACUGGGCGUAAAGCGCGCGUAGGUGGUUUGUUAAGUUGAAUGUGAAAGCCCCGGGCUCAACCUGGGAACUGCAUCCAAAACUGGC